This 451-nucleotide ribosomal RNA is filed under the name uncultured organism. RNAcentral's name for it is "partial 16S ribosomal RNA". It matches the Rfam family "Bacterial small subunit ribosomal RNA", at positions 331 to 798 of the family's 1533-position model. The record is from RNAcentral.
GUACACUCCUGCGGGAGGCGGCAGUGGGGAAUAUUGGACAAUGGGCGCAAGCCUGAUCCAGCCAUGCCGCGUGAGUGAUGAAGGCCCUAGGGUUGUAAAGCUCUUUCACCGGUGAAGAUAAUGACGGUAACCGGAGAAGAAGCCCCGGCUAACUUCGUGCCAGCAGCCGCGGUAAUACGAAGGGGGCUAGCGUUGUUCGGAUUUACUGGGCGUAAAGCGCACGUAGGCGGACUAUUAAGUCAGGGGUGAAAUCCCGGGGCUCAACCCCGGAACUGCCUUUGAUACUGGUAGUCUUGAGUUCGAGAGAGGUGAGUGGAAUUCCGAGUGUAGAGGUGAAAUUCGUAGAUAUUCGGAGGAACACCAGUGGCGAAGGCGGCUCACUGGCUCGAUACUGACGCUGAGGUGCGAAAGCGUGGGAAGCAAACAGGAUUAGAUACCCCGGUAGUCCCAU